This 439-nucleotide ribosomal RNA is filed under the name uncultured bacterium. RNAcentral describes it as "bacterial SSU rRNA". It matches the Rfam family "Bacterial small subunit ribosomal RNA", at positions 959 to 1397 of the family's 1533-position model. The record is from RNAcentral.
ACGCGAGGAACCUUACCAGGUCUUGACAUCCUUCGCUACUUCUAGAGAUAGAAGGUUCCCCUUCGGGAGACGAAGUGACAGGUGGUGCAUGGUUGUCGUCAGCUCGUGUCGUGAGAUGUUGGGUUAAGUCCCGCAACGAGCGCAACCCUUGAUCUUAGUUGCCAGCAUUCAGUUGGGCACUCUAAGGUGACUGCCGGUGACAAACCGGAGGAAGGUGGGGAUGACGUCAAAUCAUCAUGCCCCUUAUGACCUGGGCUACACACGUGCUACAAUGGACGGUACAAACGGUUGCCAACCCGCGAGGGGGAGCUAAUCUGAUAAAACCGUUCUCAGUUCGGAUUGUAGGCUGCAACUCGCCUACAUGAAGCUGGAAUCGCUAGUAAUCGCGGAUCAGCAUGCCGCGGUGAAUACGUUCCCGGGCCUUGCACACACCGCCCGU